This 427-nucleotide ribosomal RNA is filed under the name uncultured bacterium. RNAcentral describes it as "bacterial SSU rRNA". It matches the Rfam family "Bacterial small subunit ribosomal RNA", at positions 354 to 796 of the family's 1533-position model. The record is from RNAcentral.
GUGGGGAAUAUUGCACAAUGGGCGCAAGCCUGAUGCAGCGACGCCGCGUGGGGGAUGACGGCCUUCGGGUUGUAAACUCCUUUCGCCAAAGACGAAUGUGGACGGUAUUUGGAGAAGAAGCACCGGCUAACUACGUGCCAGCAGCCGCGGUAAUACGUAGGGUGCGAGCGUUGUCCGGAAUUACUGGGCGUAAAGAGCUCGUAGGUGGUUUGUCGCGUCGUUUGUGGAAUACCGCAGCUUAACUGUGGGGUUGCAGGCGAUACGGGCAUAACUUGAGUGCUGUAGGGGAGACUGGAAUUCCUGGUGUAGCGGUGAAAUGCGCAGAUAUCAGGAGGAACACCGAUGGCGAAGGCAGGUCUCUGGGCAGUAACUGACGCUGAGGAGCGAAAGCAUGGGGAGCGAACAGGAUUAGAAACCCUAGUAGUCC